UGUGUGCCUACACAGGCUGUGUCCUUACACUGGCUACAUAGAAAGGCCGAGCAGACUGUCCCUGCAUGCACCCCAGCCCAGGCUGUGUGCCUCGCUCCUGGUCUGCAUGGUGAACUGAGGGGACAUGA
Molecule: small nucleolar RNA, 128 nt
Filed under: Ochotona princeps (American pika)
Lineage: Eukaryota; Metazoa; Chordata; Mammalia; Lagomorpha; Ochotonidae
Description: Small nucleolar RNA SNORA51 (ENSOPRG00000023263.1)
Rfam family: Small nucleolar RNA SNORA51
About the family: ACA51 is a member of the H/ACA class of snoRNA that guide the sites of modification of uridines to pseudouridines.
Source: RNAcentral